Molecule: ribosomal RNA, 510 nt
Filed under: uncultured bacterium
Lineage: Bacteria
Description: bacterial SSU rRNA
Rfam family: Bacterial small subunit ribosomal RNA
Source: RNAcentral
GAUGAACGCUAGCGGCAGGCCUAAUACAUGCAAGUCGAGGGGCGGCAUGGGUAGCAAUACCUGAUGGCGACCGGCGCACGGGUGCGUAACACGUAUGUAAUCUGCCCGUUACCUGGGGAUAGCCCGGAGAAAUCCGGAUUAACACCCAAUGAUAAUACGGAGUGGCAUCACACUGUAUUUAAAAAUUUAUUGGUAACGGAAGAGCAUGCGGUCGAUUAGCUAGUUGGUGAGGUAACGGCUCACCAAGGCGACGAUCGAUAGGGGACCUGAGAGGGUGAUCCCCCACACUGGUACUGAGAUACGGACCAGACUCCUACGGGAGGCAGCAGUAGGGAAUAUUGGGCAAUGGGCGAGAGCCUGACCCAGCCAUGCCGCGUGCAGGAAGAAGGCCUUCUGGGUUGUAAACUGCUUUUGAACGGGAACAAAGAGACCCUGCGGGGUAAGAAGAGUGUACCGUUAGAAUAAGCACCGGCUAACUCCGUGCCAGCAGCCGCGGUAAUACGGAGGGUG